UGCAAAAAAAAAAAAUAUGUCAGCAACCCCAAUCAGAAACAACUUUCAGGACCUUUGGACGCCCAUUUAAUGCCUGCAGAUCCCCUAGGGGAGACUCCACAACUGACAGUGGCACUGGUGAGGAAACCAGAAGCGAAACAUCCUAAGGCCCCAGCUCAAAGGAGAGGCCACACAGAAGAUCUUGGGCUCACAAAAGGAACAGCCGCCUUCUGCCAAUGGAUGGUGCCCUGGAGGAGAACACGGGAAGCAGCAGCAAAUAAUGUCAGUGGGAAGGAAGCAAAGGAAGCUGUGGAAGUUCCCAGGCUUGUAGGGACUCUCUCAAACACCUCAGGACUUGCCUGGAUGCAGCUCCCCAAAGCUUCUUAAAACAAUUGUGUCUGAGGAGGUGUGAACCAAUAGGAAGGAGCAGGAUGAAAAAGUAAAAAGAGAUGGUGUUUGAAGCAAAUUUCUUCCAUCCUGCUGUAAGUCUGGAGCAACCUCUAAGCUACUGAGUCACUGAGUUUUAUAUUAAACACUUUCUUUUGUAA
Long non-coding RNA from Pseudopipra pipra, 527 nucleotides. RefSeq lists it as uncharacterized. NCBI's taxonomy places the organism in Eukaryota, Metazoa, Chordata, Aves, Passeriformes, Pipridae. The record is from RefSeq and is a predicted model, not a curated record. The transcript has 3 exons.